GACGAACGCUGGCGGCGUGCUUAACACAUGCAAGUCGAACGGAAAGGCCCUGCUUUUGUGGGGUGCUCGAGUGGCGAACGGGUGAGUAACACGUGAGUAACCUGCCCUUGACUUUGGGAUAACUUCAGGAAACUGGGGCUAAUACCGGAUAGGAGCUCCUGCUGCAUGGUGGGGGUUGGAAAGUUUCGGCGGUUGGGGAUGUACUCGCGGCUUAUCAGCUUGUUGGUGGGGUAGUGGCUUACCAAGGCUUUGACGGGUAGCCGGCCUGAGAGGGUGACCGGCGACAUUGGGACUGAGAUACGGCCCAGACUCCUACGGUAGGCAGCAGUGGGGAAUAUUGCACAAUGGGCGGAAGCCUGAUGCAGCAACGCCGCGUGCGGGAUGACGGCCUUCGGGUUGUAAACCGCUUUCGCCUGUGACGAAGCGUGAGUGACGGUAAUGGGUAAAGAAGCACCGGCUAACUACGUG
Molecule: ribosomal RNA, 468 nt
Filed under: uncultured bacterium
Lineage: Bacteria
Description: partial 16S ribosomal RNA
Rfam family: Bacterial small subunit ribosomal RNA
Source: RNAcentral